GCAAUAAAGCUCAAUGAUAUUCAUUUGAGUUUUUAAACAUACCACAUACACAAAGGGAAGACAGUAUCCAGAAUAUCAAAUAAUUUUUCAGUCUAGGUAUAUGUAAAAUCCACCAUUAGGCAAUUAAACACUGCCAGACGACUCUUCCAUGAUCAAGUUGAAGUAGAACUUGACAGGGGAACAAAAGAUAACUGUUCCCGUUGAAUUGCAAAACUACUUUGUGCAAACAAAUUGUAAUUAAGUGCAGUUGGGUACACCUUUCUUUUAGGGUACACCAAUUUCAUGGAUUUGUAAAAACCUGUCAUUAAAUUACUGAAAUCAAUAGUAUUCCCACAAUGAAUGAGAAUUUAAAAAAUAUGAGUGAUCUUCAGCCACCAAAAAGGAAUCCAGCAGCUUGUUCUUCAUUCCCAUCAAAUAAUUUAAGAGCUUGUACCACAGAAUCCCUUCCAAAACCUAGCUCAACAAGCUUUGCAACUUUGGCCUCAAAAUCAGGUCUCUGCAGGGAAAACAAAUUUUACUGGACACAUCAGUAUACAAAAAUUAAAAUUCAAAUUGGCCAUUUUGAUUGUCCAAGAGGUUCAACGCAAUCAAAUAGAUUGCUGAGGUAUGCUACCAACUUGAAAGGCAGCAUAAUAAUACAAAUAGUUUCAAAAGGUAAAAGUUUACCCAUUUGUACAUUUUCUACUACUUCUAAAGUUGUUUACUAGGGUUGAGCAUUAUUUGGUUUAAGUUGAAACACCAAACUGAACCGCGAUUCAGUGGGAUUUUGAUUUCUACAAUUUUUGGUAUAUUCAAUUCAAUUUGAUUUUCAAAGUUCAAAAUCGGAAUAAUUGAACCGAACUCAAAUUUACUAAAGGGCUGUUGCUUUAGCAUGAACAAACCAUCUGAUAUGGUUCCAGUCUAGUUCUUAAUGAAGAACAUAAAACAAACCAAAAAAAGUAAAAUAAGUUCAAUUCGAUAUGGUUCUGAUUGGUUCGAUAUAGUUCUGAUCGAUUAGAUACAGUUAUUCAGUUCGGGUCGAAACGCCCAAGAACUAUGCACACCCCUACUCACAAGUCACACCCUUGGUCCUCCAACAUGCACCUAACUACCUCAAAGACCUGAUGUCUCUCAAGUGAAAUACAUUCUCGCAUCUCACUGCCACUCUUCUUCGUAGUCAACUUUUGAGUUCUCAGCCUCUAGUUUUUCAUCUCUAGUCUCUACCGUUUUAGGUAUUAAAGAAUAACGACUUGGGUUAUUGUGCUGAAGUUUGGGGUAAUUAUUUCCGUAAUUUUAUUGGUAUUGAAUGGUUGAAGAUCUGAAAUGUUGUGUGUUCUUCGAUUUGUUGGAUAUUGCAAUUUGUUAGUUUGACCGAAAAUCAUUCAUUAAAUCUGCUGGGUGUUAAAUCUUUUCUUUUUGGAGUACUUGUAUUAUGUGGAAUUGAAAAUUUUAGGUAUUUGAUUAAAAGUUAGAUUGGAUUGAAGGUGUAUUUCCAGCCUUUGAACCAAAAAACCUUGGUACGGUUAAGUUUACUCUCUGAGAUCAAUUACAUUAGGUUUAUGAUAUUUGGAAAUUUGAUUGUUCAGCUUUUUCAUUUCAAUUUGAACCAAACCCCUAUGUUUACUGUUAGGAGGUGUCUGGUACGAGGUUAACAAUUGGUAAGUAUUAUUCUUAUAACGUUUAACCUCUCAUGUAUGUUGUUUAGACAUGUUAACUUUUCACCUCAUAAAUAUUUAUACCUUUUUGAGAGGUUAAAUGUUAACCUUAGAGGACUAAGUUAAUAAUUACCAUCUUUAAAUAUUAAAACUUACAAGAAUAGCAUUUCACCCUUAAUUUUUUAACCUUCUACCA
This 1830-nucleotide unclassified non-coding RNA is filed under the name Hevea brasiliensis (rubber tree). Lineage: Eukaryota; Viridiplantae; Streptophyta; Magnoliopsida; Malpighiales; Euphorbiaceae. The record is from RNAcentral.